Molecule: RNA transcript, 2701 nt
Organism: Acanthopagrus latus (yellowfin seabream)
Lineage: Eukaryota; Metazoa; Chordata; Actinopteri; Spariformes; Sparidae
Exons: 12
Source: RefSeq, a predicted model, not a curated record
CCCCGUCCAUCGAGUUCCAGCCAAACAGCGUCGCCUCAGAGAUGGCGAACUGCUGCAUGAUGCCUAAAGCAGGGAGGAGGAGGAAGACGCAGAGGAAGAAGAGGAGUGUUAAUGUAGUCUGAAGGUUGGUAUGCCCCGCACCCCCCAUCGGCCCCGCAGAUGGUUUGCCCCAGCUCUGCCAUUCGAUCAUGUGGGCCACGCGACCCUGGGCCAUGGCAGUGGGCUUGGUCACUUUGUCCUUCAUGGAGCGAGUCACACCUGAAACCAGCUGAGAAGUGAUACAUGGCUCAGUAAUAGUCUGAGCCCUGGGGAGAGCAGCUCUGUGGCCUUGAUCCGCCUGACCUUUCUUUAGACCGAGGCCUGGCGGCCGAGCAGCAGGAGGCAGCUCUGUAGGACGAGACAACCCGUCGAUGGUACCGGCUCCGGUUGGCUCGAUUGAUUUUCUUACUGAGGAAAACAAAACUUUAAUGAGCAGCGGACCUUCAGGUUCAGUGUUGGAAACAACGGAGACGUGAAACAGCAGUUCGGAAGAUUCUCAGAGCUGAAGACGGCUUCCUCAGAUUCCUUGUUUCUGUUUGACCGAUGGUCAGCGACGCGAAGAUGCAUCUCUACACGAUAUGAAACAGCUCUGCAGUUUGUUAACGAGCAGAAAGAAACUGAGAAAAGUAAAACACAGGAGGAUGCUGAAGGGCAGCGAGGAGGAAGGAGCGCAGGACGAGACCGAAGAGGCGGAUUUGUGGUGGAAAAUCGGUUCCUUUUAAAGAAUCGCCUCACUUUAACUGCUCCGGGAGGACUAAUAAAGCUGCAGAGCUGCACCACAGGGAGUCAGUCGCUGUUGUUGCUGUGAUGAAGAAGAGGAUCGUCACUCAAACAUCAGCGUGUGUUGAUCUUCUUGCUGAUAACGACAUUGAUAUCCAUCACAGGGCUUCACCAACCAAACCUUUUAUACCUCUAUUACAACAGAAUGAGUGCGUAUAUGCAGCUUCGUCUUCACGGUUCAGUCGAGGUCACGCCGCUCUGCAGAAGUUCCUUGUGAGUUUCAGAGUAACACGGAUGCUCCAGUCGUCUCUGUGCGAGGUGAUGUUCACACCCAGGAGGGAGAAACGUCGCGCUGUCAGAGAUGCUCACGGCCGCCUGUCGAUCAUAUUAUUGAUCGGUCGCCUCAUUCUGUGGAUCCGUCCUCCCUCCCUCCUUCUGUCUUUCUGUCAAAAAUCACACCAUCCAUCUACAGAGUGUGUACGAGUGUUUAGCACACAGAGCAUCCGUCAGUCGGACCGUCAGCGGAGUCGAUAUUCUGGAGUCGUGGAGGGACGAGGGGGGUUUCUCCUGCGUGAGGUCGCGAGGAUGAUGGAAGGAGGAGCAAAUCCAACCAAUCAGCCGGCUUCAGAUCGAUCAGAAACUCUUCUCCACACCGGCUGCAGAGAAAAGUCUCCAGAGUUUCUUAGAAGAAGCGAUCUGAGCGACAGCGGCAGACCUCAGACCAGCCCUGAGUCCCUGUCGCCGGGGAGAGGACGGCAGAUAAGCCGGUGGAGGUGACGAGCUCCUCGACGCCUCAGCAGGAGAAAAAAUCUGACAGAGCCUGAGACAGCACAAAGCCCAGGUGACACAUACAGAGUGGCAGGAAUCACUUUUAAUCUGCAGAACAAGUGACCUUUCCUUCAACAGCUGCUAUAGUUUGUAUUCUGGGCUAAUCAGCAAGCUAACACUCCGAACUAAAAAUUAAAAGCCCCCCGCUAGGAACCCAGUUCUAAACUCCAGUGGGGAGCAAUGUGAAGCUCUUAUUUUGAAGACAAAUUGGACCAGCUUCACUGUUCAUGACCAACUUCGUGCUUCACAUCAUCACGUCACAUGAUUACGCCGACACCAGUCGCAGCUUUUUAGAAAAGAAGGAAUAUUAACUCUCCUUUUUAUAAAGAUAUGGCAGCACAUGCAGAUGUGCUGCCUUUUCUAUCUAAAAGGAGCUCCUGGUUCCCCUCCAGCUCCAGUCAGCUGUCGACAUCACAGAACAGAAACACCCGACAACAGACGUCACCUGCUGAUCGCUGCUGCAGUCGGGCUGAUAAACAGGACUGAAGAUAAAUCCACUUUUUAAUCCCAGAAGUUAAGAAGUGAUCUCUGAGCUCUCCUCCUGUCUGUAAACCGGAUCAGAGCAGCACCUGAUGUGACUCCCUGGAUGUUUACUAUUAUAAUAUAUAUCACACAGAAUGAUUCACAUCUCGUCAGUCUUCAGCAGAUGUUAACACGCUCUGUGUUCGUCGUCCUGGUGCCUCAGCAGGUUUUUCGUCACCUGGACUCAGAUUUUUUUUUUUUUCUUCUUUCUCCCGACACGUCUCACUGUCACAUCCGCUCUUUAACGAGGAGGAAAUACUUUAAAUGUCAUCAGCUUAAAAUGAAAUUAUGAAAGGUCAUCGUCAUAAACAGUUGGAGCCUCCUGAGGUGAUUCAGUCGUUUCAGGGGAAAGAAAUGAAGAAUUAAACUAGUUAAGACGAAUUCUGACUUUGUGGCUGCAGAUUCUGGUUUUAUCUGAUCUUACUGAAUUAUUUCAGGUCCUACCUGCUCUGAUCACCUGCUGCUGGAGUCCCACCUGAUUUUCUCACGUGACGGUCUGACGGCUGCACGCUGCCUGUUUGUUUUGCCCUUUGAAUUUAGUAAAAAGCCUUUUAUUUGCCAGUUGUUUGUGGAUUCAGGAUCUUUUUUUUAU